CGCUGGCGGCAUGCCUUACACAUGCAAGUCGAACGGUAACGCGGGGCAACCUGGCGACGAGUGGCGAACGGGUGAGUAAUACAUCGGAACGUGCCCAGUAGUGGGGGAUAGCCCGGCGAAAGCCGGAUUAAUACCGCAUACGACCUACGGGUGAAAGCAGGGGAUCGCAAGACCUUGCGCUAUUGGAGCGGCCGAUGUCAGAUUAGGUUGUUGGUGGGGUAAAAGCCUACCAAGCCGACGAUCUGUAGCUGGUCUGAGAGGACGACCAGCCACACUGGGACUGAGACACGGCCCAGACUCCUACGGGAGGCAGCAGUGGGGAAUUUUGGACAAUGGGCGCAAGCCUGAUCCAGCCAUGCCGCGUGCGGGAAGAAGGCCUUCGGGUUGUAAACCGCUUUUGUCAGGGAAGAAACGCCCUAGGCUAAUACCCUGGGGUAAUGACGGUACCUGAAGAAUAAGCACCGGCUAACUACGUGCCAGCAGCCGCGGUAAUACGUAGGGUGCAAGCGUUAAUCGGAAUUACUGGGCGUAAAGCGUGCGCAGGCGGUCUUGCAAGACAGAUGUGAAAUCCCCGGGCUCAACCUGGGAACUGCAUUUGUGACUGCAAGGCUGGAGUACGGCAGAGGGGGAUGGAAUUCCGCGUGUAGCAGUGAAAUGCGUAGAUAUGCGGAGGAACACCGAUGGCGAAGCAAUCCCCUGGGCCUGUACUAACGC
This 714-nucleotide ribosomal RNA is filed under the name uncultured Aquabacterium sp. RNAcentral describes it as "bacterial SSU rRNA". It matches the Rfam family "Bacterial small subunit ribosomal RNA", at positions 34 to 746 of the family's 1533-position model. Lineage: Bacteria; Pseudomonadati; Pseudomonadota; Betaproteobacteria; Burkholderiales; Sphaerotilaceae. The record is from RNAcentral.